GACUGCGUAGCUCAGUUGGCAGAGCAUUGGGCUAGUAUUCCAAAGGUCGUAGGUUUGAUUCCCACCGUGGCCA
This is a non-coding RNA of Paramuricea clavata, 73 nucleotides long. The record is from the annotation of a GenBank genome assembly. Lineage: Eukaryota; Metazoa; Cnidaria; Anthozoa; Malacalcyonacea; Plexauridae.